Molecule: ribosomal RNA, 505 nt
Filed under: uncultured bacterium
Lineage: Bacteria
Description: bacterial SSU rRNA
Rfam family: Bacterial small subunit ribosomal RNA
Source: RNAcentral
GAGUUUGAUCAUGGCUCAGAGCGAACGUUAGCGGCGGGCCUAACACAUGCAAGUCGAGCGAGAAAGUGGCUUCGGCCAUCAGUAAAGCGGCGGACGGGGUGAGUAACACGUAGGUAAUUUUCCUUCCAGCGGGGGACAACGUUCCGAAAGGGACGCUAAUACCGCGUACGUUUCUUGGGACUCCGGUCCUGAGAAGGAAAGCUAGGUAGCAAUAUCCGGCACUGGAUGAGAAGCCUGCGUAGCAUCAGCUAGUUGGUGGGGUAACGGCCUACCAAGGCGAAGACGCUUAGCUGGUCUGAGAGGAUGAUCAGCCACACUGAAACUGAGACACGGUUCAGACUCCUACGGGAGGCAGCAGUAGGGAAUCUUGCGCAAUGGGCGAAAGCCUGACGCAGCCAUGCCGCGUGAAUGAUGAAGGUCUUAGGAUUGUAAAAUUCUUUCAGCGGGGACGAUAAUGACGGUACCCGCAGAAGAAGCCCCGGCUAACUUCGUGCCAGCCGCCGCU